Molecule: ribosomal RNA, 802 nt
Filed under: Streptomyces sp.
Lineage: Bacteria; Bacillati; Actinomycetota; Actinomycetes; Kitasatosporales; Streptomycetaceae
Description: bacterial SSU rRNA
Rfam family: Bacterial small subunit ribosomal RNA
Source: RNAcentral
UGCAGUCGAACGAUGAACCACUUCGGUGGGGAUUAGUGGCGAACGGGUGAGUAACACGUGGGCAAUCUGCCCUGCACUCUGGGACAAGCCCUGGAAACGGGGUCUAAUACCGGAUACUGACCCGCUUGGGCAUCCAAGCGGUUCGAAAGCUCCGGCGGUGCAGGAUGAGCCCGCGGCCUAUCAGCUUGUUGGUGAGGUAAUGGCUCACCAAGGCGACGACGGGUAGCCGGCCUGAGAGGGCGACCGGCCACACUGGGACUGAGACACGGCCCAGACUCCUACGGGAGGCAGCAGUGGGGAAUAUUGCACAAUGGGCGAAAGCCUGAUGCAGCGACGCCGCGUGAGGGAUGACGGCCUUCGGGUUGUAAACCUCUUUCAGCAGGGAAGAAGCGAAAGUGACGGUACCUGCAGAAGAAGCGCCGGCUAACUACGUGCCAGCAGCCGCGGUAAUACGUAGGGCGCGAGCGUUGUCCGGAAUUAUUGGGCGUAAAGAGCUCGUAGGCGGCUUGUCACGUCGGUUGUGAAAGCCCGGGGCUUAACCCCGGGUCUGCAGUCGAUACGGGCAGGCUAGAGUUCGGUAGGGGAGAUCGGAAUUCCUGGUGUAGCGGUGAAAUGCGCAGAUAUCAGGAGGAACACCGGUGGCGAAGGCGGAUCUCUGGGCCGAUACUGACGCUGAGGAGCGAAAGCGUGGGGAGCGAACAGGAUUAGAUACCCUGGUAGUCCACGCCGUAAACGGUGGGCACUAGGUGUGGGCGACAUUCCACGUCGUCCGUGCCGCAGCUAACGCAUUAAGUGCCCCGCC